CCUACGGGUGGCUGCAGUGAGGAAUAUUGCGCAAUGGGGGCAACCCUGACGCAGCGACGCCGCGUGAGUGAGGAAGGCCUUCGGGUCGUAAAGCUCUGUCAAGAGGGAAGAAAUGCAUGGUGGUUAAUAUCUGUCAUGUUUGACGGUACCUCUAAAGGAAGCACCGGCUAACUCCGUGCCAGCAGCCGCGGUAAUACGGAGGGUGCAAGCGUUGUUCGGAAUCACUGGGCGUAAAGGGCGCGCAGGCGGCCUGAUUAGUCAGAUGUGAAAGCCCAAGGCUUAACUGUGGAAGUGCAUUUGAAACUGUCAGGCUUGAGUACCAGAGGGGAAAGUGGAAUUCCCGGUGUAGAGGUGAAAUUCGUAGAUAUCGGGAGGAAUACCGGUGGCGAAGGCGACUUUCUGGCUGGAUACUGACGCUGAGGCGCGAAAGCGUGGGGAGCAAACAGGAUUAGAUACCCUUGUAGUC
RNAcentral lists this ribosomal RNA (466 nucleotides) under uncultured Desulfobulbus sp. Its description in RNAcentral is "bacterial SSU rRNA". It matches the Rfam family "Bacterial small subunit ribosomal RNA", at positions 338 to 795 of the family's 1533-position model. Lineage: Bacteria; Pseudomonadati; Thermodesulfobacteriota; Desulfobulbia; Desulfobulbales; Desulfobulbaceae. The record is from RNAcentral.